Molecule: ribosomal RNA, 821 nt
Filed under: uncultured bacterium
Lineage: Bacteria
Description: bacterial SSU rRNA
Rfam family: Bacterial small subunit ribosomal RNA
Source: RNAcentral
AGAGUUUGAUCAUGGCUCAGGACGAACGCUGGCGGCGUGCCUAAUACAUGCAAGUCGAGCGAGCGGAACUAACAGAUUUACUUCGGUAAUGACGUUAGGAAAGCGAGCGGCGGAUGGGUGAGUAACACGUGGGGAACCUGCCCCAUAGUCUGGGAUACCACUUGGAAACAGGUGCUAAUACCGGAUAAGAAAGCAGAUCGCAUGAUCAGCUUUUAAAAGGCGGCGUAAGCUGUCGCUAUGGGAUGGCCCCGCGGUGCAUUAGCUAGUUGGUAAGGUAAAGGCUUACCAAGGCGAUGAUGCAUAGCCGAGUUGAGAGACUGAUCGGCCACAUUGGGACUGAGACACGGCCCAAACUCCUACGGGAGGCAGCAGUAGGGAAUCUUCCACAAUGGACGCAAGUCUGAUGGAGCAACGCCGCGUGAGUGAAGAAGGUUUUCGGAUCGUAAAGCUCUGUUGUUGGUGAAGAAGGAUAGAGGUAGUAACUGGUCUUUAUUUGACGGUAAUCAACCAGAAAGUCACGGCUAACUACGUGCCAGCAGCCGCGGUAAUACGUAGGUGGCAAGCGUUGUCCGGAUUUAUUGGGCGUAAAGCGAGCGCAGGCGGAAGAAUAAGUCUGAUGUGAAAGCCCUCGGCUUAACCGAGGAACUGCAUCGGAAACUGUUUUUCUUGAGUGCAGAAGAGGAGAGUGGAACUCCAUGUGUAGCGGUGGAAUGCGUAGAUAUAUGGAAGAACACCAGUGGCGAAGGCGGCUCUCUGGUCUGCAACUGACGCUGAGGCUCGAAAGCAUGGGUAGCGAACAGGAUUAGAUACCCUGGUAGUCC